UACGAGGGGGGCGAGCGUUGUUCGGAAUUACUGGGCGUAAAGGGCGCGUAGGCGGUUCGACAAGUUGGAUGUGAAAGCCCAGGGCUCAACCCUGGAAUUGCAUUCAAGACUGUUUUACUUGAAUUCGGUAGAGGUGAGUGGAAUUCCCAGUGUAGAGGUGAAAUUCGUAGAGAUUGGGAAGAACACCGGUGGCGAAGGCGGCUCACUGGACCGACAUUGACGCUGAGGCGCGAAAGCGUGGGGAGCAAACAGG
This 253-nucleotide ribosomal RNA is filed under the name uncultured bacterium. RNAcentral's name for it is "partial 16S ribosomal RNA". It matches the Rfam family "Bacterial small subunit ribosomal RNA", at positions 524 to 776 of the family's 1533-position model. The record is from RNAcentral.